UAAAAGUCAGGUCGGAUUAAGCCAUAGUACGGAAAAAACUAUGCUACCUGUGAGCCCCGUCCAAGGACGUUAAAAGAAGUCAGGCCAUCAAAAUGCCACGGCUUGAGCAAACCGUGCAGCCUGUAGCUCCACCUGAGGAGGUGUGAAAAACCUGGGAGGCCACAAACCAUGGAAGCUGUACGCAUGGCGUAGUGGACUAGUGGUUAGAGGAGACCCCUCCCUUACAAAUCGCAGCANCAACGGGGGCCCAAGGUGAGAUGAAGCUGUAAUCUCACUGGAAGGACUAGUGGUUAGAGGAGACCCCCCCAAAACAAAAAACAGCAUAUUGA
RNAcentral lists this long non-coding RNA (329 nucleotides) under dengue virus type 2. RNAcentral's name for it is "Dengue virus type 2 partial sfRNA1". The stretch from base 242 to 313 matches the Rfam family "Flavivirus DB element". The record is from RNAcentral. Lineage: Riboviria; Orthornavirae; Kitrinoviricota; Flasuviricetes; Amarillovirales; Flaviviridae.